GUCCGCCCAACGGCGGAGGAAGGGGGCGGGACGCGGCGCGGAGCUGCCGCGCAGGGUUGGUAGGCACCGAGGUCCGAGUGGGGGACUGGGAGGUGCCGACGCUGCUCGGAGAUGGGCAGGGAGUGAAACUAUGUGGCCAUUCUAAGAAAUUCACUUUGGCCCAUCUGAAGUCCAUAUGGCUCUCUAUGAUGAAGAUCUCCUGAAAAAUCCUUUCUAUCUGGCUCUCAAGAAGUGGCGUCCUGACUUGUGCAGCAAGGUG
RNAcentral lists this long non-coding RNA (259 nucleotides) under Dasypus novemcinctus (nine-banded armadillo). RNAcentral describes it as "lncRNA (ENSDNOG00000050487.1)". Lineage: Eukaryota; Metazoa; Chordata; Mammalia; Cingulata; Dasypodidae. The record is from RNAcentral.